CGGGACACGUGGUAUCCUGUCUGAAUAUGGGGGGACCAUCCUCCAAGGCUAAAUACUCCUGACUGACCGAUAGUGAACCAGUACCGUGAGGGAAAGGCGAAAAGAACCCCGGCGAGGGGAGUGAAAAAGAACCUGAAACCGUGUACGUACAAGCAGUGGGAGCACAGAGCAAUCUGUGUGACUGCGUACCUUUUGUAUAAUGGGUCAGCGACUUAUAUUCUGUAGCAAGGUUAACCGAAUAGGGGAGCCGAAGGGAAACCGAGUCUUAACUGGGCGUUAAGUUGCAGGGUAUAGACCCGAAACCCGGUGAUCUAGCCAUGGGCAGGUUGAAGGUUGGGUAACACUAACUGGAGGACCGAACCGACUAAUGUUGAAAAAUUAGCGGAUGACUUGUGGCUGGGGGUGAAAGGCCAAUCAAACCGGGAGAUAGCUGGUUCUCCCCGAAAGCUAUUUAGGUAGCGCCUCGUGAAUUCAUCUCCGGGGGUAGAGCACUGUUUCGGCAAGGGGGUCAUCCCGACUUACCAACCCGAUGCAAACUGCGAAUACCGGAGAAUGUUAUCACGGGAGACACACGGCGGGUGC
This 582-nucleotide ribosomal RNA is filed under the name Escherichia coli. RNAcentral's name for it is "partial 23S ribosomal RNA". It matches the Rfam family "Bacterial large subunit ribosomal RNA", at positions 418 to 998 of the family's 2925-position model. The record is from RNAcentral. Lineage: Bacteria; Pseudomonadati; Pseudomonadota; Gammaproteobacteria; Enterobacterales; Enterobacteriaceae.